UGAUAUGCCAGUGUGUUUAGGAAAAAUACACUCAGACACCAUUAUUAUUUGACGUAGAAUGACAGAAGAAGAAACUGCCAGUUAGGGAAGAUGUUUUGAAAGAAUUAUUCAAAAACUCAUAAUUAUUCAAAUUGAAAUAUUUAAUAAUCCUUUGGAAAAGUAUGGAAAAGCUUUGUCAUGUUUUCCUUUUCUCUUGUAUUCUUCCCUGUAUUUGAAACACAUCGCAAAUACCAGCCUAAGACACAGUUGCUGCUUUUACAUAACUGAAAUCAGUUUUUUCCCAAACAUCACAACAAAAGUUCUUAAGAUUUUAAUAAUAACAUUUAGUAGAUAAAAAAGCUAAUAAAAAUUGAAUUGCUUGAGCAACACUAAAACAUUUCAGACCAUUGAGUUUUUUGAGUAUCAGGUAGCAAAUCAACAUAAAGAUUCCCUUAAAAGAACAUUGUGAUGCUUUUUACCUGGGUUUAGUUUUUUGGGUUUGGUGGAGUGGUCCUUAAAUGUAUAGUGGUCCAUAGGACUCAUGACAGAAAUUCCCUGUGCUCAUGAAACCCCAGUCAAUGUAUAUAUGAAUAGAACUUUGGUG
Molecule: long non-coding RNA, 583 nt
Filed under: Bos taurus (domestic cattle)
Lineage: Eukaryota; Metazoa; Chordata; Mammalia; Artiodactyla; Bovidae
Description: long non-coding RNA NONBTAT022581
Source: RNAcentral